CUUUUUGGUACAACUUGAGCAGCAAACUAAGGGAGAGCCAACAGAAUUUGAAGAUCCAAAUCUACUUCCUUUGCUUGCUGAAUUUUCAAAUAUAUUUGACGAACCGCGCAACCUACCUCUUACCUGUCGGCAUGAUCAUUGUAUAAUGAUUCUUCCAGGCAAAUCUUCAGCAAAUGCUCAGCCAUAUCAGUAUCCACAUCUCCAGAAGGAUGAAAUAGAAAGGAUUAUAAAAGAGAUACUCGAAACAGGAGUUAUUCGGCCAUGUUGCAACCUCUACUCUUCGCCGGUGCUACUUGUACGCAAGAAGGACGGAACAAGGCGAAUAUGUGUUGAUUACCGAGCUCUCAAUGGCAUAAUCAUCAAGGACAAAUACUUUAUUCCAAUAGUAGAUGAAUUGCUAGAUGAAAGAGAGCACAAAUCUUUACAAAGCUGGACCUUUGAUCCGGGUAUCAUCAAAUACGAGCAUGCGAAGAAGACAUAUGGAAAACCACCUUUUGAACACACAACAACCACGAAUUUUUGCUUUCUUCAACAAAAGGUGGAAUAUCUUGGGCAUAUCAUAUCAGAGGAAGGUGUGGCAGUAGACCCCUUCAAAAUUGGAGCAAUGCAAAACUGGCCGACCUCGAGAAACAUAAAAUUGCUACAUGACUUUCUGGGUUUAACAUGCUACUACCGCAAGUUCGUGAAAAACUAUGGAAAGAUCAGUGCACCACUUACUUCCUUACUAGAAAAAGAUGUCUUCCAAUGGUUGGACAGAGCCUCCACUGCCUUCGAUAAACUUAAGGCAGCCAUGACGACGACGCCGGUGCUAACACUACCAGAUUUCAACCGACCCUUCAUUAUUGAGGCUGACACAUCUGGAGUCAGAAUUGGAGCCAUUCUCAUACAAGAUGGUCGACCACUCGCAUACACUAGCAAGGCAUUAUCUCUCUCCUAUCAAAAUAUGUCAACAUAUGAUAAGGAGAUGCUCGCCAUUGUGCGCGCAGCAACGAGGUGGAGAUUGUACUUGAUCAAGCGAUACUUUCAAAUCAAGACCGACCAUAAAAGCCUAAAAUAUCUCUUGGAGCAGAAGAUAUCUUCCCCCGAGCAGCAAAUAUGGCUACCCGAGCAAGUUGAAGUUUUGGCUGUUUCACUUCCGACCAGCGACUUCCUUGAGGAUAUUAAGAUGGAAUGGCAGGAAGAUUCGGAGACCAGUAAGAUACAAAAAAAAUUAGAGGAAGCACCAAGCUCCGUGACUCAUUACAAUCGGGACUCAAAAGAAUUAUGCUAUAAGGGACGCAUUGUGCUUGUGACAAAUUCUACUUGCAUCUUCAAGAGCAGAUUUUGGACAAAGUUAUUCCAUAUGUAGGGUA
This 1352-nucleotide long non-coding RNA is filed under the name Musa acuminata (dwarf banana). RNAcentral describes it as "long non-coding RNA (MACU_LNC009279)". The record is from RNAcentral. Lineage: Eukaryota; Viridiplantae; Streptophyta; Magnoliopsida; Zingiberales; Musaceae.